Agelaius phoeniceus (red-winged blackbird) is the source of this 1912-nucleotide non-coding RNA. The record is from RefSeq and is a predicted model, not a curated record. NCBI's taxonomy places the organism in Eukaryota, Metazoa, Chordata, Aves, Passeriformes, Icteridae.
CAGGGAGGAAGGGGCCAAGGUGCUGGCACCAAGUCACAACUACUGGAAAGUUUGAUAGGUCAUCUUUUGGGAGGAAAAAACCUACUAAUGUAUGAACCAUAAAAGCAAUACAAUCUGAAAGGUAAGGACAAACUGAUUAAAUUCCAUUAGUUAAAAGUAAAUGCAUUUAUUUUUGACUAGCAUGGUCCAGAGGCGGCCAGUCUGAAAUAUGAUCAAAAAUGUUAGCAUUUGCAAGAGGAGAGAAUGAGAAAGUUUCCCGCUAAAUGGGCUCUUCUGCCUCAUCCAACUGGGCUGUAACAACUCCUGGAUAUAAGGCAGGACAGGGAAUGAACUAAAUAUGAGAGAAGCUACAAAGGUGAAAUGGGAAGAAGGGCAUAGGCAAAGUCAUUCAUCUCCCUUGGUCACUAAACCCAUCAGUCCCCACAUUGGUACUGAAAUUUGCCCCACACAGAGGGACCCCUCUCUUCUGACUAUCAAUCCUUUUACAACACCAUAGAUUUAGAAUUAUUUCCACACUAUAUGGGUCUUUGCUGAAAGGUGACCAUCAUCACCAUUUAUGUCUGGGAAUCAUAGAAGGAUUGGUGUGAAACAGGACCUCCAAAGAUCAUCUAGUCCAACCUCCCUGCUCAAGUAGGUUCUCCUAUAGCAGGUUGCACAGGAUCAUGUCUGGGUGGGUUUUGAGUGUCUCCAGAGCAGGAGACUACACAGUCUCUCUGGGCUACCUCUUUCAGUGCUCUGUCACCCUCAAAGUAAACACAUGUUUUUUCUCAUACUCAGGAAUAAUGUCCUAUGUUUCAAUUUGUGCCUGUUGUCCCUUGUCCUGUUGCUGGGUAUCACUGAAAUGAGUCUGCUCCCAUCCUCUUGACACCUGCUCCUAAGCUCAGUAAUGUCCACCCUGACUGAUGUAAAGGACAGGAAGUCUGUGGUCUAAGCAAGCCAUCACCUGCUAGCCUGCACCUUCAGACUGACAUGCAGCUGAUCACUAAGCAUAAAGCAUAUACCAGAGAACCUCUUGCCUCAGAAAGGAACUGGAGCAGUCUACAACCAGCAUCUCACUACACAGCUUGAUUACACACAAAGACAGCAUGUAAUUUGCCAUUGGAGGUGUGACAUUCAGGAGCGGUACAAGAACAGAAUCCUUCCAAGACUGUUCAGACUUAAUCCAAAUUAUUUGCCUUUUCAGUCUCCUUAUUUUGCAGCUUUAAUCUGUAAACAUGAAUUUAGAUCCUAAAUAACUGAAGAAAGCCUUAGAAAUGAGCUGUCUUGGAAACAAAUGACUACCUUUAUAAACAAGUCUGCACUUGCAAGGCAAGGAACAAUUGCUACCUGCUCAGCUGUGUGAAGCCAAGUCAUGGCUUUACCUUUCUCAAAUGGUUGAGCUAUUCUACUUUCCUGUAAGUGAGGUUUGCAUUAGAUUUCCCUUCACUAUUCUUCUCCUUUGCAUUACUUUCUACCUCAGAGUAUUAAAACCAAGAACUCCAUCACACCAUAUGCUUGAUAGUUACCCAAGAACCUCAGCUAAGUUCUUACCAACACAGCAUAGAGAAUUAAUGCUGAAUAUCAAAGUACUUACAAAAAUGAAGUUCAUUUUAAGUAAAGUCCAUUAAAAGAUAAGUCCAUUUCUCAUCACACCAUGCAGCUCACCCUUCUCUGAAAAACCACCUGCCCCUUCGAUGACAAGAGCUGUGAGGAAAGCAACACCAUGAGGCAAGCAGCACAUUUCCUUCACUACUCAAAGGAAUAUUAUCAGCUCCACCAGCUACUGCUUUUUUAAUGGUAAAUGUUUUCCUCUUCAUUGCUUGUUUACAAAGCACAUGCUCAGAGGAGCCUGAUUUUUUUUUCAUUCUUCCUACUGCUUCCAGUUUGAGCAAUAGCUUCCACAAGGUCUACUAAUAAAACAGAUGCAAAUGUG